AUGAGGACGAAGUGACUGACACCACGCUUCCAGGAAAAGCCACUAAGCUUCAGCUGUAGAAAAACCGUACCGUAAACCGACACUGGUAGGCAGGGUGAGAAUCCCAAGGCGCUUGAGAGAACUCGGGUGAAGGAACUAGGCAAAAUGGCACCGUAACUUCGGGAGAAGGUGCGCCCUUUGGUGUGGUCACGUGCGUGACUGAGCAUCGAAGGGUCGCAGUAACCUGGCCGCUGCGACUGUUUAUCAAAAACACAGCACUCUGCAAACACGAAAGUGGACGUAUAGGGUGUGACGCCUGCCCGGUGCUGGAAGGUUAAUUGAUGGGGUCAGCCGCAAGGCGAAGCUCUUGAUCGAAGCCCCAGUAAACGGCGGCCGUAACGAUAACGGUCCUAAGGUAGCGAAAUUCCUUGUCGGGUAAGUUCCGACCUGCACGAAUGGCGUAACGACAGCGGCGCUGUCUCCACCCGAGACUCAGUGAAAUUGAAAUCGCUGUGAAGAUGCAGCGUUCCCGCGGCAAGACGGAAAGACCCCGUGAACCUUUACUAUAGCCUUACAUUGAACGUUGAGUUCUUCUGUGUAGGAUAGGUGUAGGCUAUGAAACCGAGACGCUAGUUUCGGUGGAGCCAUCCUUGAAAUACCACCCUGAAGUGCUUGACGUUCUAACCUAGGUCCGUAAUCCGGAUCGGGGACCAUGUAUGGCGGGUAGUUUGACUGGGGCGGUCUCCUCCCAAAGAGUAACGGAGGAGCACGAAGGUACGCUCAGCGCGGUCGGACAUCGCGCACUGUGUGCAAAGGCAUAAGCGUGCUUGACUGCGAGAUCGACGGAUCAAGCAGGUACGAAAGUAGGUCUUAGUGAUCCGGUGGUUCUGUAUGGAAGGGCCAUCGCUCAACGGAUAAAAGGUACUCCGGGGAUAACAGGCUGAUACCGCCCAAGAGUUCAUAUCGGCGGCGGUGUUUGGCACCUCGAUGUCGGCUCAUCACAUCCUGGGGCUGUAGCCGGUCCCAAGGGUAUGGCUGUUCGCCAUUUAAAGUGGUACGCGAGCUGGGUUCAGAACGUCGUGAGACAGUUCGGUCCCUAUCUGUCGUGGGCGUUGGAGAUUUGAGGGGGGCUGCUCCUAGUACGAGAGGACCGGAGUGGACGUUCCGCUGGUGUUCGGGUUGUCAUGCCCAUGGCAUUGCCCGGUAGCUACGAACGGAAGUGAUAACCGCUGAUAGCAUCUAAGCGGGAAGCACGCCCCAAGAUGAGAUCUCCCGAGAGCUAGACUCUCCUUAAGGCACCAUCAAGACUAGGUGGUUGAUAGGCACGGUGUGGAAGUGCAGCAAUGCAUUGAGCUUACGUGUACUAAUGAGCCGUGAGGCUUGACC
Molecule: ribosomal RNA, 1365 nt
Filed under: metagenome
Description: bacterial LSU rRNA
Rfam family: Bacterial large subunit ribosomal RNA
Source: RNAcentral